CCCACCAGAACCGGGGAAGCACCAACGCAUGCGCCUUCGCUCUCCUUUUGUUUCUCGUUCCCGCCCUCCACACCGGAUGUGACGCUCUACACCUUAGUCACGUCGUUAAGUAACCUCUGACUCAGCCUCCGCUUCAGAGAUCAUGCCUUCUGACAACGGCAGUCCUUCAAACCCAACCCCCAUUAAGCUCCAUCACCCACCAGCCUCUUCUAGAGCUAGCAUUCAUCCACAGUUCUACUCCUGACCACACCAGAUGUGUGAAGUUUAACAAGUCGUUUUCCCCACCUGGAUUUAGUUUUGUCUUCAACCAGCUUCGGAAACUAUGCAGCCUUCCUCCUAUCCUGGACUGAUGUGAGGAUUUGACGAGACUACAUGUUUAAGUUGUAGUGUACUGUGUACGUUAACAUGAUUAUGUUUCCAAGCAGCUCUAGUUGUUACAAAGUUUUCAUUAAAGAGUAAAUUUUGCCUCUUGGAA
Long non-coding RNA from Herpailurus yagouaroundi (jaguarundi), 475 nucleotides. RefSeq lists it as uncharacterized. The record is from RefSeq and is a predicted model, not a curated record. The transcript has 2 exons. NCBI's taxonomy places the organism in Eukaryota, Metazoa, Chordata, Mammalia, Carnivora, Felidae.